GACACUGAGGCUCGAAAGCGUGGGUAGCAAACAGGAUUAGAUACCCUGGUAGUCCACGCCGUAAACGAUGUCUACUAGUCGUUGGGUCCCUUGAGGACUUAGUGACGCAGCUAACGCAAUAAGUAGACCGCCUGGGGAGUACGGCCGCAAGGUUAAAACUCAAAUGAAUUGACGGGGGCCCGCACAAGCGGUGGAGCAUGUGGUUUAAUUCGAUGCAACGCGAAGAACCUUACCUGGUCUUGACAUACACAGAAUCUUGUAGAGAUACGAGAGUGCCUUCGGGAAUUGUGAUACAGGUGCUGCAUGGCUGUCGUCAGCUCGUGUCGUGAGAUGUUGGGUUAAGUCCCGCAACGAGCGCAACCUUUGUCCUUAGUUACCAGCACUUCGGGUGGGAACUCUAAGGAUACUGCCAGUGACAAACUGGAGGAAGGCGGGGACGACGUCAAGUCAUCAUGGCCCUUACGACCAGGGCUACACACGUGCUACAAUGGUAGGUACAGAGGGCAGCUACACAGCGAUGUGAUGCGAAUCUCAAAAAGCCUAUCGUAGUCCAGAUUGGAGUCUGCAACUCGACUCCAUGAAGUAGGAAUCGCUAGUAAUCGCGGAUCAGAAUGCCGCGGUGAAUACGUUCCCGGGCCUUGUACACACCGCCCGUCACACCAUGGGAGUUGAUUGCACCAGAAGUGGUUAGCC
RNAcentral lists this ribosomal RNA (693 nucleotides) under uncultured bacterium. Its description in RNAcentral is "bacterial SSU rRNA". It matches the Rfam family "Bacterial small subunit ribosomal RNA", at positions 742 to 1435 of the family's 1533-position model. The record is from RNAcentral.